Molecule: ribosomal RNA, 257 nt
Filed under: uncultured prokaryote
Description: partial 16S ribosomal RNA
Rfam family: Bacterial small subunit ribosomal RNA
Source: RNAcentral
UACGUAGGUGGCAAGCGUUGUCCGGAUUUAUUGGGCGUAAAGGGAGCGCAGGUGGUUUCUUAAGUCUGAUGUGAAAGCCCACGGCUUAACCGUGGAGGGUCAUUGGAAACUGGGGAACUUGAGUGCAGAAGAGGAGAGUGGAAUUCCAUGUGUAGCGGUGAAAUGCGCAGAGAUAUGGAGGAACACCAGUGGCGAAGGCGACUCUCUGGUCUGCAACUGACGCUGAUGUGCGAAAGCGUGGGGAUCAAACAGGAUUA